AAACCCGAAAGGUCGAAAGGGGAAAUUCAUUCGCGUUUCGAUUGUCGGCGAUGAGUGGUUGUGUGACGGAUGGCGUUCGCGUCGUCUGCGCCUUCUGUUUUUCGAACCGGCUUCGAACGCGUGCACUUUUCCCCUAGUAGGACGUCGCGAUCCGUUGGGUGUCGGUCUAAGGCCCGCGGUGGAGCCCACGUGGACGUUUCGGCGUUCGCGUGAACCCGUGGUGUCCCGGCCGACUCGCUCGACGGUAUAAUGAUGGCGCGGGGCCGCUACACUAAGUUAGCGUUCGGCCUGUGGCAAGCGCGUUCGGUGUGACGGCGAUCGGACCUAGUGCCGGUCCUGUCCCCGAGCGACUGUUGGCUGCGGUGCUCUCGAACAGACCUCGUUGAAACGCCGAUCAGCUGACGCCAUAG
This 410-nucleotide ribosomal RNA is filed under the name Hornius sulcifrons. Its description in RNAcentral is "eukaryotic LSU rRNA". Lineage: Eukaryota; Metazoa; Arthropoda; Insecta; Coleoptera; Chrysomelidae. The record is from RNAcentral.